GGGUUGCUAACUCAACGGUAGAGUAUUCGGCUUUUAACCGACUAGCUCCGGGUUCGAAUCCCGGGCAACCCA
This 72-nucleotide transfer RNA is filed under the name Lobelia zeylanica. RNAcentral describes it as "tRNA-Lys". It matches the Rfam family "tRNA". From Rfam's summary of the family: Transfer RNA (tRNA) molecules are approximately 80 nucleotides in length. Their secondary structure includes four short double-helical elements and three loops (D, anti-codon, and T loops). Further hydrogen bonds mediate the characteristic L-shaped molecular structure. tRNAs have two regions of fundamental functional importance: the anti-codon, which is responsible for specific mRNA codon recognition, and the 3' end, to which the tRNAs corresponding amino acid is attached (by aminoacyl-tRNA synthetases). tRNAs cope with the degeneracy of the genetic code in two manners: having more than one tRNA (with a specific anti-codon) for a particular amino acid; and 'wobble' base-pairing, i.e. permitting non-standard base-pairing at the 3rd anti-codon position. Lineage: Eukaryota; Viridiplantae; Streptophyta; Magnoliopsida; Asterales; Campanulaceae. The record is from RNAcentral.